CCUACGGGUGGCUGCAGUGAGGAAUAUUGGUCAAUGGCCGGAAGGCUGAACCAGCCAAGCCGCGUGAGGGAGGAAGGCGCAGAGCGUCGUAGACCUCUUUUGUCGGGGGACAAAAGGCGGGACUUGUCCGGUCCUGAGUGUACCCGGAGAAAAAGCAUCGGCUAACUCCGUGCCAGCAGCCGCGGUAAUACGGAGGAUGCGAGCGUUAUCCGGAUUAAUUGGGUUUAAAGGGUGCGCAGGCGGUGCUUUAAGUCAGCGGUAAAAUCGCGGGGCUCAACCCCGGCGCGCCGUCGGAACUGGGAGCCUCGAGUGCGGCGGAGGCAUGCGGAAUGCGCGGUGUAGCGGUGAA
This 349-nucleotide ribosomal RNA is filed under the name uncultured bacterium. RNAcentral's name for it is "partial 16S ribosomal RNA". It matches the Rfam family "Bacterial small subunit ribosomal RNA", at positions 338 to 685 of the family's 1533-position model. The record is from RNAcentral.